GACGAACGCUGGCGGCGUGGAUUAGGCAUGCAAGUCGAACGGUAUAAACCUUUCGGGGUUUAGAGAGUGGCGAACGGGUGAGUAACACGUAGGUAAUCUACCCUCAAAACGGGGACAACCCAGGGAAACUUGGGCUAAUACCGGAUGCGUGCAAACAAUGUUUUGGCUGUUGUAAUUAUUCACGGAAGUGGAUAGUUAUGAGAGUUCAGAGCAUAAUUUGCAUAAAAGGUGGCGUAAGCUGCCGUUUGAGGAUGAGCCUGCGUCCUAUUAGUUAGUUGGUGAGGUAAUGGCUUACCAAGGCGAUGAUAGGUAGGCGGCCUUAACGGGUGGUCGCCCACACUGGGAUUGAGAUACGGCCCAGACUCCUACGGGAGGCAGCAGUCGAGAAUAGUCUACAAUGGACGAAAGUCUGAUAGUGCGACGCCGCGUGAACGAAGAAUCUUCGGGUGUAAAGUUCUUUCUAUGUGAGCAGUUCCUUUUAUAUGAAGAGUAUAGAAGGGGGAUUUAAGCAUAGGAAUAAGCAAC
RNAcentral lists this ribosomal RNA (525 nucleotides) under uncultured bacterium. RNAcentral describes it as "bacterial SSU rRNA". It matches the Rfam family "Bacterial small subunit ribosomal RNA", at positions 28 to 494 of the family's 1533-position model. The record is from RNAcentral.